This 434-nucleotide ribosomal RNA is filed under the name uncultured bacterium. RNAcentral describes it as "bacterial SSU rRNA". It matches the Rfam family "Bacterial small subunit ribosomal RNA", at positions 954 to 1392 of the family's 1533-position model. The record is from RNAcentral.
GCAUAACGCGAAGAACCUUACCCACCUUUGACAUGUACGGAAUCCUUUAGAGAUAGAGGAGUGCUCGAAAGAGAGCCGUAACACAGGUGCUGCACGGCUGUCGUCAGCUCGUGUCGUGAGAUGUUGGGUUAAGUCCCGCAACGAGCGCAACCCUUGCCAUUAGUUGCUACGAAAGGGCACUCUAAUGGGACUGCCGGUGACAAACCGGAGGAAGGUGGGGAUGACGUCAAGUCCUCAUGGCCCUUAUAGGUGGGGCUACACACGUCAUACAAUGGCUGGUACAAAGGGUUGCCAACCCGCGAGGGGGAGCUAAUCCCAUAAAGCCAGUCGUAGUCCGGAUCGCAGUCUGCAACUCGACUGCGUGAAGUCGGAAUCGCUAGUAAUCGUGGAUCAGAAUGUCACGGUGAAUACGUUCCCGGGUCUUGUACACACCG